CGGCCUACGGGCGGCAGCAGUGAGGAAUUUUGCGCAAUGGGGGAAACCCUGACGCAGCAACGCCGCGUGAGUGAUGAAGGCCUUCGGGUCGUAAAGCUCUGUCAAGUGGGAAGAAUCUGCUUUGUGAUAAUACCACAGAGCACUGACGGUACCACUGAAGGAAGCACCGGCUAACUCCGUGCCAGCAGCCGCGGUAAUACGGGGGGUGCUAGCGUUAUUCGGAAUCAUUGGGCGUAAAGGGCGCGUAGGCGGUAUUUUAAGUCAGAUGUGAAAGCCCUCGGCUUAACCGAGGAAGUGCAUGUGAUACUAAGAGACUUGAGUAUGGGAGAGGGAAGCGGAAUUCCUGGUGUAGCGGUGAAAUGCGUAGAUAUCAGGAGGAACACCGGUGGCGAAGGCGGCUUCCUGGACCAAUACUGACGCUGAGGCGCGAAGGCGUGGGGAGCAAACAGGAUUAGAUACCCUGGUAGUC
Molecule: ribosomal RNA, 469 nt
Filed under: uncultured Desulfococcus sp.
Lineage: Bacteria; Pseudomonadati; Thermodesulfobacteriota; Desulfobacteria; Desulfobacterales; Desulfococcaceae
Description: bacterial SSU rRNA
Rfam family: Bacterial small subunit ribosomal RNA
Source: RNAcentral